This 515-nucleotide ribosomal RNA is filed under the name uncultured bacterium. RNAcentral's name for it is "partial 16S ribosomal RNA". It matches the Rfam family "Bacterial small subunit ribosomal RNA", at positions 28 to 523 of the family's 1533-position model. The record is from RNAcentral.
GAUGAACGCUGGCGGCGUGCCUAAUACAUGCAAGUCGAGCGAAUGGAUUGAGAGCUUGCUCUUAUGAAGUUAGCGGCGGACGGGUGAGUAACACGUGGGUAACCUGCCCAUAAGACUGGGAUAACUCCGGGAAACCGGGGCUAAUACCGGAUAACAUUUUGAACCGCAUGGGUCGAAAUUGAAAGGCGGCUUCGGCUGUCACUGAUGGAUGGACCCGCGUCGCAUUAGCUAGUUGGUGAGGUAACGGCUCACCAAGGCAACGAUGCGUAGCCGACCUGAGAGGGUGAUCGGCCACACUGGGACUGAGACACGGCCCAGACUCCUACGGGAGGCAGCAGUAGGGAAUCUUCCGCAAUGGACGAAAGUCUGACGGAGCAACGCCGCGUGAGUGAUGAAGGCUUUCGGGUCGUAAAACUCUGUUGUUAGGGAAGAACAAGUGCUAGUUGAAUAAGCUGGCACCUUGACGGUACCUAACCAGAAAGCCACGGCUAACUACGUGCCAGCAGCCGCAGUAA